UACGUAGGGGGCAAGCGUUAUCCGGAAUUACUGGGUGUAAAGGGUGAGUAGGCGGCAUGGUAAGCCAGAUGUGAAAGCCUUGGGCUUAACCCGAGGAUUGCAUUUGGAACUAUCAAGCUAGAGUACAGGAGAGGAAAGCGGAAUUCCUAGUGUAGCGGUGAAAUGCGUAGAGAUUAGGAAGAACACCAGUGGCGAAGGCGACUUACUGGACUGUAACUGACGCUGAGGCAUGAGAGCAUGGGGAGCAAACAGG
This 253-nucleotide ribosomal RNA is filed under the name uncultured Lachnospiraceae bacterium. Its description in RNAcentral is "partial 16S ribosomal RNA". It matches the Rfam family "Bacterial small subunit ribosomal RNA", at positions 524 to 776 of the family's 1533-position model. The record is from RNAcentral. Lineage: Bacteria; Bacillati; Bacillota; Clostridia; Lachnospirales; Lachnospiraceae.